This 228-nucleotide ribosomal RNA is filed under the name uncultured bacterium. RNAcentral's name for it is "partial 16S ribosomal RNA". It matches the Rfam family "Bacterial small subunit ribosomal RNA", at positions 103 to 334 of the family's 1533-position model. The record is from RNAcentral.
CGGGUGAGUAAUGUCUGGGAAACUGCCUGAUGGAGGGGGAUAACUACUGGAAACGGUAGCUAAUACCGCAUAACGUCGCAAGACCAAAGAGGGGGACCUUCGGGCCUCUUGCCAUCGGAUGUGCCCAGAUGGGAUUAGCUAGUAGGUGGGGUAACGGCUCACCUAGGCGACGAUCCCUAGCUGGUCUGAGAGGAUGACCAGCCACACUGGAACUGAGACACGAUCCAG